Molecule: ribosomal RNA, 838 nt
Filed under: uncultured bacterium
Lineage: Bacteria
Description: bacterial SSU rRNA
Rfam family: Bacterial small subunit ribosomal RNA
Source: RNAcentral
UACGAGGGAUGCAAGCGUUAUCCGGAAUUAUUGGGCGUAAAGCGUUUGUAGGCGGACGAGUGUGUUUAAUGUUAAAUCUUAAAGCUCAACUUUGAAAUUGCGUUAAAAACUGCUUGUCUUGAGUAUGGUAGGGGUAAAGGGAAUUCCCAGUGUAGCGGUGAAAUGCGUAGAUAUUGGGAAGAACACUAAACAGCGAAGGCACUUUACUAGGCUAAUACUGACGCUGAGAAACGAAAGGUAAGGUAGCGAAACGGAUUAGAUACCCGUGUAGUCUUACCCGUAAACUAUGGACACUAAACGGUAAAUUUUUAAUUUACUGUUAAAGCUAACGCGUUAAGUGUCCCGCCUGGGGAGUAUGCUCGCAAAAGUGAAACUCAAAGGAAUUGACGGGGGCCCGCACAAGCGGUGGAGCAUGUGGUUUAAUUCGACGGUACACGAAGAACCUUACCAGGAUUUGACAUGCUAGAUAGUUGCUUGAAAGAGUAACGUGCCGUAAGGAAUCUAGACACAGGUGGUGCAUGGCUGUCGUCAGUUCGUGUUGUGAAAUGUUGGGUUAAGUCCCGCAACGAACGCAACCCCUGUCUUUAGUUAUUUUCUAAAGAGACUGCCUGUAAUAAACAGGAGGAAGGUAAGGAUGGGGUCAAGUCACCAUGCCCCUUAUGUCCUGGGCUACACACGUGCUACAAUGGGAAAGACAAUGAGCUGCAAAUCUGUAAAUUUAAGCAAAUCUCUUAAACUUUCUCGUAGUUCGGAUUGUGGGCUGCAACUCGCCCACAUGAAGUUGGAAUCGCUAGUAAUCGCCAGUCAGCUAUAUGGCGGUGAAUCCGUUCCCGGGCCU